AGAAGGAGGUGGGUGGCAGGUAGCUUAGCCAGGUGAAGAUAGGACUGAGCCCCAGAAUGUAGGAGCAGUAUUGAGGUAAUGUGAACAAAGUGUGGAGUGGUAGUGGGAGUGGGAACAGCAGGAGACAUUGCCAAUGCUAUUUAGUAAGGUCUGGGAAGUUCUUAAGCUAGGAGAUAGGUGGGAGAAUCUACAUGUGAUGAGUGGGGGCUGGGGCAUCACUGUAUUUGUGACAACUCUAGUGUUCUUGUAUGAAGAGGUUCCUUAGAAUAGUUUUAUUUUUGGAAUGACCAUGAUUAAAUUAGGUAUCUCUGGAGUGACACCCAAGGCUUUAUUUCAGGUCUGUCAUGUCUGAGGCAUGUCCACCAACUUUGACUCAUUUCCAGUCCGGAUUCUCAAUCAAGUAUAGAAAUAAAAAAGCAAGCAGAAUCUAGAGAAGUUGCCAAGCAAAAGCAAGAUUUAUUGCAAACAAUGGAACAGACUCCUCUGGAAAGGCGGGGCCCCAGAGCUGGGAGUCUGCUUCUUCUGUCAAACAGGGCUGAAUUUAUGGAAAAACCUGCUAGGAUUGUUCCACAUCUUUUCUGCCUGAACCCUCAGGUCUUUGGCCUGGAAUUGGAAGAUAAGUGUGUGUUCCUGCAUGAGUCAAGUAGAUCUGGGCCUCUCUCCUGCCGCAAUAUGAGGUGCACAGGAAGGGUAAGCCCUUACUUUGGAAACUUAGACAUGGGGCCUGCAGGCAGUGUUCUUGGUGCCACCUGGAAUAGAAGGAGGAGCAAGGGCAUCUAUGCUUCAGCUGCCUAGUUGCACUGCUGGAGGCUUCUGGGAGAUCUGACUCUGGUGAUCAC
Molecule: long non-coding RNA, 839 nt
Filed under: Fukomys damarensis (Damara mole-rat)
Lineage: Eukaryota; Metazoa; Chordata; Mammalia; Rodentia; Bathyergidae
Description: lncRNA (ENSFDAG00000025743.1)
Source: RNAcentral